UACGGAGGGUGCAAGCGUUGCUCGGAAUUAUUGGGCGUAAAGGGUAGGUAGGUGGUCUCAUUUGUCUGGGGUGAAAUCCUUGAGCUUAACUCAAGAACUGCCCUAGAAACGGUGAGACUCGAGUCCUGGAGAGGGUCGUGGAAUUCCCGGUGUAGCGGUGAAAUGCGUAGAGAUCGGGAGGAACACCAGAGGCGAAGGCGGCGACCUGGACAGGUACUGACACUCAACUACGAAAGCGUGGGGAGCAAACAGG
RNAcentral lists this ribosomal RNA (253 nucleotides) under uncultured bacterium. RNAcentral describes it as "partial 16S ribosomal RNA". It matches the Rfam family "Bacterial small subunit ribosomal RNA", at positions 524 to 776 of the family's 1533-position model. The record is from RNAcentral.